UACGUAGGGUGCAAGCGUUGUCCGGAAUUAUUGGGCGUAAAGAGCUCGUAGGCGGUUCGUCACGUCGGCUGUGAAAUCCCGAGGCUCAACCUCGGGUCUGCAGUCGAUACGGGCGGACUUGAGUACUGCAGGGGAGACUGGAAUUCCUGGUGUAGCGGUGAAAUGCGCAGAUAUCAGGAGGAACACCGGUGGCGAAGGCGGUUCUCUGGGCCUGUACUGACGCUGAGGAGCGAAAGCGUGGGGAGCGAACAGG
Molecule: ribosomal RNA, 253 nt
Filed under: uncultured bacterium
Lineage: Bacteria
Description: partial 16S ribosomal RNA
Rfam family: Bacterial small subunit ribosomal RNA
Source: RNAcentral